AACGAACGCUGGCGGCAUGCCUAACACAUGCAAGUCGAACGAAGCCUUCGGGCUUAGUGGCGCACGGGUGCGUAACGCGUGGGAAUCUGCCCUUGGGUACGGAACAACAGUUAGAAAUGACUGCUAAUACCGUAUGAUGUCUUCGGACCAAAGAUUUAUCGCCCAGGGAUGAGCCCGCGUAGGAUUAGGUAGUUGGUGGGGUAAAGGCCCACCAAGCCGACGAUCCUUAGCUGGUCUGAGAGGAUGAUCAGCCACACUGGGACUGAGACACGGCCCAGACUCCUACGGGAGGCAGCAGUGGGGAAUAUUGGACAAUGGGCGAAAGCCUGAUCCAGCAAUGCCGCGUGAGUGAUGAAGGCCUUAGGGUUGUAAAGCUCUUUUACCCGGGAAGAUAAUGACUGUACCGGGAGAAUAAGCCCCGGCUAACUCCGUGCCAGCCGCCGCUGUAA
This 449-nucleotide ribosomal RNA is filed under the name uncultured bacterium. RNAcentral's name for it is "partial 16S ribosomal RNA". It matches the Rfam family "Bacterial small subunit ribosomal RNA", at positions 29 to 523 of the family's 1533-position model. The record is from RNAcentral.